AGAUAGUGUUUACAUUAAUUUUCUUGAUUCAUUCAUUCAUCUAAUCUCCAAACAUUUACACGGUCCAUACUAAGUGCCUGUCGUUGUAAAUACAAAGAGAGCUACCCACUAGAAACUUGAGUUUAGUAGGGGGAGAUUUACACAUAAAUAGGUAAAUGCAAUCAACUGAUAGAUGUAUGAGCAGGAAAGAGUGGAUACACAGUGACUGGGGGAAGAAGAGGUUUCAGGAAAAGCUUCAGAGAAUAGAUGAUAAUUAGGUUGAGUUAUGUAAAAAAGAGGAUCACCAGUUUGAGCAGACAGAUAUGGAAACUUAAUCAUGGACAGGUGCAAGGGACAGUGAGACAGACUCAAGGAAUAAUACUGUCAGAAAAUGAAGGAAACAUUGCAGAGUUUCAAGGGGAGGAAUAACACCUUGAGAAGUUGAAUAAUUUAUCCAAAUUUGGCUUAAGAUUUCCCAGAAUUGAUAAAAGCCACACAUUAUAGCACUGAGCAAGACAAGAAAAAAUCGAUAUCCUGACCCACAUCAUAGUGAAACUGCAGAGCAUCAAAGACAAGAGACAAUCCUAAAAGCAGGCAUAAGUAAAAGAUACAUUGCCUCAGAGAAACUGUUGGGCCAGCUGCAGUCUGUUAAUUAACUGAAGCCAGAAGACAAUGGAAUAAUGUCCUCAAAGGAGUGGGGGGGAAAUAACUGUCAUCUAGAAUUUUGUACCCAGCAAGACUACUACAGGCAUUUUCAACUAUGUAAGAAAUGAAUUUCCCAACUGCAAGCCCUGCAGAAAAAGCUACCAACGUUCAUACUUCUGGAAGAAGAAAACUGAACUUAGAAGAAGCGAAAUGCAUGAAAGAAUGCUACGUGUAAAAACUGGAAUGCUCCUGAAGUUGGUUAACUGAAGAGAUACACAGAUCUACUUCUCAAAGGUCUACUGAUCUCAGAAAUACACUUGGAGACACUUCAUUCAGCUUCAGUGUUCUUAGCAAAGACUUACUUUUGUGGUAUAAAAUAUAGAGCCGUGCUCCAAUUAUAUUCUUAUUUUUCCGUUAACCUAACUGAUGAUGGUUUUUAAGAGCCUUGAAGGUUAGAGAUACUGACUUAAAAGUAAUUCAGCAAAACUGACAUCUGAUGUAAAACUUGAAGUUAAAAGAGAUCGGGCAUGUGUUGACCAAUCUCCUUCAACCACAUGUUUUAGCAGCUCCCUGGGAGGACAGUGGUUUUUCAGCCCAUUCAUGUGCUUGAGGAUGAAAAAUAUGUGCUGGUAUAGGCUGAAUAAAUGGGUGUAUACUAAGUCAUUAUGCUCAAAGAAAGUAAAUGACAUCCAAUUAUCAUAAA
This is a long non-coding RNA of Leopardus geoffroyi (Geoffroy's cat), 1327 nucleotides long. RefSeq lists it as uncharacterized. The record is from RefSeq and is a predicted model, not a curated record. Lineage: Eukaryota; Metazoa; Chordata; Mammalia; Carnivora; Felidae. The transcript has 2 exons.